This 511-nucleotide ribosomal RNA is filed under the name uncultured bacterium. RNAcentral describes it as "bacterial SSU rRNA". It matches the Rfam family "Bacterial small subunit ribosomal RNA", at positions 28 to 511 of the family's 1533-position model. The record is from RNAcentral.
GACGAACGCUGGCGGCGUGCCUAACACAUGCAAGUCGAACGGAGAUUUUAUGGAAUGCGGCUUCGGCCAAAUGAAAUUUAAUCUUAGUGGCGGACGGGUGAGUAACGCGUGAGGAACCUGCCCUUAAGAGGGGGACAACAGUUGGAAACGACUGCUAAUACCGCAUAACGUAUUGAGAGGACAUCCUCUUAAUACCAAAGGAGCAAUCCGCUUAAGGAUGGCCUCGCGUCUGAUUAGAUAGUUGGUGAGGUAACGGCUCACCAAGUCGACGAUCAGUAGCCGGACUGAGAGGUUGAACGGCCACAUUGGGACUGAGACACGGCCCAGACUCCUACGGGAGGCAGCAGUGGGGGAUAUUGCACAAUGGGGGAAACCCUGAUGCAGCAACGCCGCGUGAGGGAAGAAGGCCGGAAGGUUGUAAAAUCCUUUUAAGCAAGAAGAAUAAACUUUACAGGGAAUGGUAGAGUGGUGACGGUAUUGCUUGAAUAAGCAACGGCUAAUUACGUGCCAG